RNAcentral lists this ribosomal RNA (494 nucleotides) under uncultured bacterium. RNAcentral describes it as "bacterial SSU rRNA". It matches the Rfam family "Bacterial small subunit ribosomal RNA", at positions 28 to 531 of the family's 1533-position model. The record is from RNAcentral.
GAUGAACGCUAGCGGCAGGCCUAAUACAUGCAAGUCAAGGGGAUAGCAAUAUCACCGGCGGACGGGUGCGUAACGCGUACACAACGUGCCCAAGGGCGGAGGAAAGCGGCGGGAAACUGCCGGUAAUACUCCAUGGUGUUGUUGAGUGGCAUCACUUAACAACUAAAGUACAAGCGCCCUUGGAUCGGUGUGCGUUCGAUUAGCUAGUUGGCGGGGUAACGGCCCACCAAGGCUCCGAUCGAUAGGGGGUGUGAGAGCAUGACCCCCCACACGGGUACUGAGACACGGACCCGACUCCUACGGGAGGCAGCAGUAAGGAAUAUUGGACAAUGGGCGAAAGCCUGAUCCAGCCAUGCCGCGUGAAGGACGAAGGCGCUCAGCGUUGUAAACUUCUUUUGGAUGGGAACAAUAACUCCGACUUGUCGGAACUUGAGGGUACCAUCAGAAUAAGCACCGGCUAACUCCGUGCCAGCAGCCGCGGUAAACUGUCUACG